Molecule: ribosomal RNA, 560 nt
Filed under: uncultured bacterium
Lineage: Bacteria
Description: bacterial SSU rRNA
Rfam family: Bacterial small subunit ribosomal RNA
Source: RNAcentral
CCUACGGGAGGCAGCAGUGGGGAAUUUUCCGCAAUGGGCGAAAGCCUGACGGAGCAAUACCGCGUGAGGGAGGAAGGCUCUUGGGUUGUAAACCUCUUUUUUCAGGGAAGAUAAUGACGGUACCUGAGGAAUAAGCAUCGGCUAACUCCGUGCCAGCAGCCGCGGUAAUACGGAGGAUGCAAGCGUUAUCCGGAAUGAUUGGGCGUAAAGCGUCCGCAGGUGGUUUUAAAAGUCUGUUGUUAAAGCGUGAGGCUUAACCUCAUAAGGGCAAUGGAAACUGUAAGACUAGAGUACGUUCGGGGCAAGGGGAAUUCCCAGUGUAGCGGUGAAAUGCGUAGAGAUUGGGAAGAACACCGGUGGCGAAAGCGCCUUGCUAGGCCGUAACUGACACUGAGGGACGAAAGCUAGGGGAGCGAAUGGGAUUAGAUACCCCAGUAGUCCUAGCCGUAAACGAUGGAUACUAGGCGUUGUCUGUAUCGACCCGGACAGUGCCGUAGCUAACGCGUUAAGUAUCCCGCCUGGGAGUACGCACGCAAGUGUGAACUCAAAUGAAUUGACGG